RNAcentral lists this transfer RNA (66 nucleotides) under Physella acuta. RNAcentral describes it as "transfert RNA-C(TGC)". The record is from RNAcentral. Lineage: Eukaryota; Metazoa; Mollusca; Gastropoda; Physidae.
GGCAUUACAAGUACUACUAAGAAUACGGCAACUACUAAAACAUCAGCAUUUUACUGAUGGAUGUUU